GGUCACUUGAACUUCUCCAGCUUAGCACAGUUGCCUUGCAGCUCCAUUGUGAAGACAAAACCCUGCUAUGGCAUUGUAGUGGUGAGUGUCAAUCCGAACCUUUUCUAAGGUUUAUUUCUGUAAAUCAUGGCAUGAGCAAGAUUGGCAUAAUUUGUGCUAUGGACAGACCUUGGACCAUCUCUCUGGACACCCUGGAUCCAAUCAGGGCCAGGUAGAGGGUCAUCCAUUCAGGAGGGAGUGGAGAGGAGAGGAGAAAGAGAGAACCCGACUAUGUAACUUUUAAAUGGGGAUUGGAUUUGGUUUGGAAAGGGCUUGGCCAAGGAAUUCGCUGGAUGGUUAGUGUUGGAUUGUGGGUGAACAUAUCAGACGACACAGCGAUUCUUCAAACAGCUCUUGUUUAUUCACAGGCCAGAAACAGAACUGAACUGAAGGGUUCAGCCAGCCUGCUUAUAUAGAGCUCCACUAGAACGCAACAGUAACCACUUUCUGUAACUAUCCAAUCACUGAACGUCCCUUUCAAUCCCUUAUUUGCAUAUGUGGACCUGAGUGAAAACUAUCUACAGUAUCCCCCUGCUGGCCCAGGGUGAGAACUUCAGUACAUAACACCUAGGGCUUGCUAGGCAGGGGAAACCAGAUUGCUUCCCUCAAAGGAAAAUAUCCUAGAAAGGGGCUGGAAGUGUUCUCCUGAAUCCAAAGCUAUUCCAGAAGGAAUCCGUUUAAUUAGGAAAACUCAUAAAGUUCUUCAUCACUUCCGUAAAAGUGAUUCUGACUGAGAAGAAGCCUUGUGCCUAAUCGGAGUACAAUCAUAUCUCGUGUUGCGUUCGCUUCAUGUUGCGUCUUUUCACGUUACAUCCUGCGGCAACCCGGAAGUACUGGACUGGGUUACUUCCGGGUUUCAUUGCUCGGGCCUGCGCAGAAAUGCUAAACUGCGCUUCACGCCUGCGCAGAAGCGCCGCCACUCGUCUGCGCAGACGCAGCGCUUCGCGUUGUGGGCAUUUCACGUUACAGACUGGCCUCCGGAACAGAUCCCGUCCGUAACACGAGGUACCACUGUAAUCGGAAUAAUCAUUAUGUUUUAGUCCCCAUUGAGUGUGUAAAAUACAAUUCCAGUUUUGUUUACCAUGUGCCUCAUCCUGCUCUCCCUUGGUCACAGGUUUCCCUUGCUGCUGGAUAUCAACCUAUCAAGUGAUACUGACAAGGAGUUUCUAAGUUUUGAAGUUACCUCACUCCCAUGUUUAUUGAGGGAGCUUGCCACAACUCAACAUAAAAUAUACCUCAUUGUGACCUAGGGGUGUAUGGGAUGUUAGGAAUAGGGCAGUACCUCUGGUGGGGAACACGUUGUUCUCCUUCUGAAGUAAUUUGUACGCCUCUGGUCCCCACCCUGCACUCAGCCCUCACUCGUGGCUCCUAGCAGCUGUCAGUAGAUGACCUAAUAUGAGUGUUGCUGGCACUGGGCAAUUGGGACAGAUUAGGGCAUGGGUAGGCAAACUAAGGCCCAUGUGCCGGAUCCGGCCCAAUUGCCUUCUCAAUCCGGCUUGCAGACGGUCCGGGAAUCAGCGUGUUUUUACAUGAGUAGGAUGUGUCCUUUUAUUUAAAAUGCAUCUCUGGAUUAUUUGUGGGGCAUAAGAAGUUGUUCAAUUUUUUUCUUUCAAAAUAUAGUCCAGCCCCCCACAAGGUCUGAGAGACAGUGGACCGGCCCCCUGCUGAAAAGCUUUGCUGACCCCUGGAUUAGGGAUUCUGCUGGUUUACCGCCCACCUCGAUGGCCAGCAGUCUCCCUGCCUGAGCUGGCCAAGCUGGUCUCAGAGGCUGCUGGUUCUGUGAGACUUCAACAUCCACACUGAGGCAACUGACUCUGGGCUGGCUCAGGAUUUCAUGGCUGCCAUGACAACCAUGGGGCUGCCUCAACAUGUCACGGGCCCAAUGCAUGUGGCAGGCCACACCCCGGACCUUGCUUUCUCCACUGGACAGGAAGAGGGUGUUUUGAAAGUGGGGGAUAUUGACACCACUCCCUUGUUGUGGUCAGAUCACUUCCUAUUGAUAUUUAGGCUUUUAGUACCUUUUCUCUGCUGCAGAGGUGGGGGGCCUAUUAAGAUGGCCUUCCUUUGGAGGCCGAUGGAUCCAAUGGGUUUUCAGACAGCUCUGGGAGAUUUUCUGGCUGAUAUGACUGGCGCUGUUUUGGUGGGGGAGAAGUAUUGGCUUAUUUGCCCAGGUAUGUGGUGCUGUGGGUUAAACCACAGAGCCUAGGGCUUGACAAUCAGAAGGUUGACUGUUCGAAUCCUCACGACAGGGUGAGCUCCCGUUGCUCGGUCCCUGCUCCUGCCAACCUAGCAGUUUGAAAGCACAUCAAAGUGCAAAUAGAUAAAUAGGUACCGCUCUGGCAGGAAGGUAAACGGCGUUUCCAUGUGCUGCUCUGGUUCACCAGAAGCGACUUAGUCCUGCUGGCCACAUGAUCCGGAAGCUGUCUGCGGACAAACGCCGGCUCCCUCAGCCAAUAAAGCAAGAUGAGCGCCGCAACCCCAGAGUCGGUCACGACUGGACCUAAUGGUCAGGGGUCCCUUUACCUUUUUAUGUCACAACCCAAAGGCUGUAUUAUAGGAGACUGCUGUCUUUGGAAGAGUAUUUACCUUCUGAGGUGUGUGACUGGUUAACCCCUUCGUCCUACCCAUUCUGUCAAUUUCUGCACCACUGCAACAUACUCUGGAAUUCACAUCAAUGUGUAAGCGAGGAUUUCCAGCAUAAGCCACUGACCUUCCUGGUUUCCCAGUUCAGUGUCUGGAGACUGAAAAAGGGCAUGUUUGCAAGCAUAAAGUUGGAAAAAAAUAUCCAAUCUUCCCAUCAAGCUUAAUCCAACACCUGGAAGAUGCCGUUCAAAACCCAUAAAUCAAAUUCAGUAUACUCCUUUGUUUCUGGAAACAACACACCUGUAGAACAGAUAUCACUUUAUACUGAUUCACAGUUACAAGAUCUAAUUAAAUAGCUUGCCACAAAACAGCAUGUGGAUCAUCUUGGAGAUCCUGAAAUCCUAAAUAAUAAUACAGUGGUACCUGCUUUCCUAAUCAACUGCUUUCCUAGCAGCCUUGGUUCAGUUUACAGUGGUACCUCGGGUUACAUACGCCUCAGGUUACAUACGCCUCAGGUUACAGACUCCGUUAACCCAGAAAUAGUGCUUCAGGUUAAGAACUUUGCUUCAGGAUGAGAACAGAAAUCAUGCUCCGGCAGCAGCAGGAGGCCCCAUUAGCUAAAGUGGUGCUUCAGGUUAAGAACAGUUUCAGGUUAAGUAUGAAUUAAGUACUUAACCCGAGGUACCACUGUAAUUUCUCCAACAGUGAAUAGAAAUACUUUUGAAUGUUUUUUCAGAGUCCGUGAAGAAGAAGGAUGGUUCAGUUUUAUAACAAUUUUCAUUGAUUAAACUCUGCACUCUUCUGGAAUCAUCUGAUAUUAAAUGGCCCAUAAUAAAACUGGUCUCAGUAGAUAUAUAGAUAGAUAUAAUUCUAUUUAAUCUCCAUGUGGCAUGACAUUUAUGAUCAUGAUUUAACAAGGAUGCUGAUCUGUAACAAUAUUUUCUUUUCUUAUACAGUGGUACCUCAGUUUACGAACUUAAUCUGUUCCAGAAGUCCAUUCUUAAACCGAAACAAUUCUUAAACUGAGGCGCGCUUCGCCUAAUGAGGCCUCCCGCCGCCGGUGCCCUUCCACCGUUCGGAUUCCGUUCUUAGACCGAGGUAAAGUUCGCAAACCAGGACCCUACUGGUUUUGCAGAGUUCGUAAACCAAAUUGUUCGUAAACAGGACUGUUCUUAAACCGAGGUACCACUGUAAAUUUGUGUUAUUUUUGCACUUUUCCAAGAUUUUCCAAGAAUCUACAUUAUCUAAAUAAGCUGUUUAAUGAGCCCAUCAAUGUAUCUUAGAAAGCUUUUUAAAAAAAAUCUGCAGCUAAUCCACCCAGACCAGGUGUUUUAUUAUUUUGGGGGUGAUCAGGGAAGUUUUUAAUGUGUGAUAUUUUACUGUAUUUUUGGUUUAUAUGGAAGCCGCCCAGAGUGGCUGGGGAGGCCCAGCCAGAUGGGUGGGGUAUAAAUAAUAAAUUAUUAUUAUUAUUAUUAUUAUUAUUAUUAUUAUUAUCUCAUUGUGUCCUGUAUUUCUUUAGUGCUGAAGUCUAGUCUGCCAUCUUCUUCCACUGGAAGUCCUAAAUGAUGGAGUUCUUACAGAUGCAGGACAGGUCUGAAGAGGUACCUAUAGCAGUGCCGAUUCCAACCAAAGCAGCCAGGUGGGCACAUGUGUACAUCAUUCAGAGAAUACUUAUAAAGUUUAACCACAGCAACAGGAAACAGCCACAGACUUUACUCUAAUUCAUGCUGUCUGGAGGUACCUGUGAAUGAAAAUGGAUGCAAAGCAAACGGAUACAAGGAGGACAAUGUGAUUUUUCUUCAGUUGAAAGCAUUUUGAACAAAGGUGCGGUUUAUAGCGUCGGAAGUGGUACCUGGAGCCCUAGGAAUAUCGCAAGGGAUUGGACAAGUCUAUGAUUCUUGGUUCUAUGAAUAGGACUGCUUUUAGUGAGCUCAGCUAUCCCUGACUCUACGGUGAUUAGUGUCUCUAAACAUCAAUUGCUAUGUAGCUUAAUAAUUUCAGAUCAGUAAACUGUGGCUCCAUGUUAAGAUAAGAGCUCAAAGCCAAUUGGCUACCCUUCUGGAUUUGCAGGCUUUUGUGGAGGUGAUCCACUUGUGUUCUUUCCCCCCUCUUUUUGGUGCUGUUCAUUCAAGUUAACUUUAUGAUGAAGUGACCCUUAACCCUCAGGGAUUGCAGAAGGAUUCAACAGGUGUUCAGCGUGGAAUGCGAGAGCUGAACAAGCUCCCAUCUGUUGCACACUGAAGUUCAAGGAAAUUGGUUCCAAAUGUGCUUUGGCGGUCCAAGCUUUUGUAUUCAUCCGUCUUGCAUGUAUCGUUUCUGCAUCAGUAAAAUGCCAUUUGCUAUCUCCACAAAGUUAGCAUCUGGGGAGAAAAGCCAGCCUAAGAAAAUGAUCUCAUUUUUUUCCUGAACUAUCAGGAUAUGGUCUAUCUAAGCUAUCUGGUUGCCACACCUCAAAAAGGAUAUUGUAGAGUUGGAAAAGGGCAAGCUGAAUGAUCAACUAUGAAACUAGGUUGCAGCAUUUGGGACAGUUU
Non-coding RNA from Podarcis lilfordi (Lilford's wall lizard), 5153 nucleotides. NCBI's taxonomy places the organism in Eukaryota, Metazoa, Chordata, Lepidosauria, Squamata, Lacertidae. The record is from the annotation of a GenBank genome assembly.